This 315-nucleotide unclassified non-coding RNA is filed under the name uncultured Fusarium. RNAcentral's name for it is "partial contains 5.8S ribosomal RNA, internal transcribed spacer 2, and large subunit ribosomal RNA". The stretch from base 1 to 102 matches the Rfam family "5.8S ribosomal RNA", at positions 53 to 154 of the family's 154-position model. Lineage: Eukaryota; Fungi; Ascomycota; Sordariomycetes; Hypocreales; Nectriaceae. The record is from RNAcentral.
AUGCGAUAAGUAAUGUGAAUUGCAGAAUUCAGUGAAUCAUCGAAUCUUUGAACGCACAUUGCGCCCGCCAGUAUUCUGGCGGGCAUGCCUGUUCGAGCGUCAUUACAACCCUCAGGCCCCCGGGCCUGGCGUUGGGGAUCGGCGGAAGCCCCCUGCGGGCACAACGCCGUCCCCCAAAUACAGUGGCGGUCCCGCCGCAGCUUCCAUUGCGUAGUAGCUAACACCUCGCAACUGGAGAGCGGCGCGGCCACGCCGUAAAACACCCAACUUCCGAAUGUUGACCUCGAAUCAGGUAGGAAUACCCGCUGAACUUAA